UGGGGAAUUUUGGACAAUGGGCGAAAGCCUGAUCCAGCGAUGCCGCGUGUGUGAAGAAGGCCUUCGGGUUGUAAAGCACUUUUGUCCGGAAAGAAAUCCUUGGCUCUAAUACAGUCGGGGGAUGACGGUACCGGAAGAAUAAGCACCGGCUAACUACGUGCCAGCAGCCGCGGUAAUACGUAGGGUGCAAGCGUUAAUCGGAAUUACUGGGCGUAAAGCGUGCGCAGGCGGUUUGCUAAGACCGAUGUGAAAUCCCCGGGCUCAACCUGGGAACUGCAUUGGUGACUGGCAGGCUAGAGUAUGGCAGAGGGGGGUAGAAUUCCACGUGUAGCAGUGAAAUGCGUAGAGAUGUGGAGGAAUACCGAUGGCGAAGGCAGCCCCCUGGGCCAAUACUGACGCUCAUGCACGAAAGCGUGGGGAGCAAACAGGAUUAGAUACCCUGGUAGUCCACGCCCUAAACGAUGUCAACUAGUUGUUGGGGAUUCAUUUCCUUAGUAACGUAGCUAACGCGUGAAGUUGACCGCCUGGGGAGUACGGUCGCAAGAUUAAAACUUAAAUGAAUUGACGGGGUCAUAGCUG
This 579-nucleotide ribosomal RNA is filed under the name uncultured bacterium. RNAcentral's name for it is "partial 16S ribosomal RNA". It matches the Rfam family "Bacterial small subunit ribosomal RNA", at positions 355 to 932 of the family's 1533-position model. The record is from RNAcentral.